AGGAGUCAGUGAAGCAAGUUCAUGAGACUCGGAGGCAAGGACACCAAACCAGGAGUUUUAGCUCCUACCCAUGGUACUGGCUAAUACAUCUGACCACACCGGCUCUGCAAGACCAUGACUGAAGAUUGCUUAAAUGUUGUCCCUGAGUGAAUAUCUUAACAUUUAUUGCAUCUUUCAUUUUCUUAACAAAAAUGAAGGAGUUUGUGACUGCGUUGUUUUCCAUCAAAAAUUGGGAAUCAUGCCCUUUCAUACAACAUAGUUGUGACACGAUUUGUUGAAGUGAAAGAACACUGGAACAGAAGCAAAAAAUACCUGAGAUGAAGACUCACCUCUUACCAUCAACCUAGUGUUGACUUUGG
This is a long non-coding RNA of Mandrillus leucophaeus (drill), 359 nucleotides long. RefSeq lists it as uncharacterized. The transcript is spliced from 4 exons. Lineage: Eukaryota; Metazoa; Chordata; Mammalia; Primates; Cercopithecidae. The record is from RefSeq and is a predicted model, not a curated record.